Molecule: long non-coding RNA, 207 nt
Organism: Arabidopsis thaliana (thale cress)
Lineage: Eukaryota; Viridiplantae; Streptophyta; Magnoliopsida; Brassicales; Brassicaceae
Product: other RNA
Exons: 1
Source: RefSeq
GGUGACGCCACUUAAAAGGAUCUGUGAGCGAGUGUAGGAUCCCUCAACUGCACAUAAAUCCGAGUUAAGUAUUGUCAUAACAGAGAUUUGCAUUGCAAGGGUGUCAAAUACAAGAUAAGAAAAUAGAAGAGGUUGGGGGCAUUGGCUAAUGUUGCCAUUCCCAAGUUUGGAGAAGAGUUGUCAAAGCCUCCUGCCAUUGUAAAACCU